RNAcentral lists this ribosomal RNA (460 nucleotides) under uncultured bacterium. RNAcentral's name for it is "partial 16S ribosomal RNA". It matches the Rfam family "Bacterial small subunit ribosomal RNA", at positions 338 to 795 of the family's 1533-position model. The record is from RNAcentral.
CCUACGGGUGGCAGCAGUGAGGAAUAUUGGUCAAUGGACGAGAGUCUGAACCAGCCAAGUAGCGUGAAGGAUGACUGCCCUAUGGGUUGUAAACUUCUUUUAUAUGGGAAUAAAACGUUCCACGUGUGGGAUUUUGUAUGUACCAUAUGAAUAAGGAUCGGCUAACUCCGUUCCAGCAGCCGCGGUAAUACGGAGGAUCCGAGCGUUAUCCGGAUUUAUUGGGUUUAAAGGGAGCGUAGGUGGAUUGUUAAGUCAGUUGUGAAAGUUUGCGGCUCAACCGUAAAAUUGCAGUUGAAACUGGCAGUCUUGAGUACAGUAGAGGUGGGCGGAAUUCGUGGUGUAGCGGUGAAAUGCUUAGAUAUCACGAAGAACUCCGAUUGCGAAGGCAGUUCACUGGACUGCAACUGACACUGAGGCUCGAAAGUGUGGGUAUCAAACAGGAUUAGAUACCCCUGUAGUC